Molecule: ribosomal RNA, 484 nt
Filed under: uncultured bacterium
Lineage: Bacteria
Description: partial 16S ribosomal RNA
Rfam family: Bacterial small subunit ribosomal RNA
Source: RNAcentral
AUUGAACGCUGGCGGCAGGCCUAACACAUGCAAGUCGAGCGGAUGAAGGGAGCUUGCUCCUGGAUUCAGCGGCGGACGGGUGAGUAAUGCCUAGGAAUCUGCCUGGUAGUGGGGGAUAACGUCCGGUAACGGGCGCUAAUACCGCAUACGUCCUGAGGGAGAAAGUGGGGGAUCUUCGGACCUCACGCUAUCAGAUGAGCCUAGGUGGGAUUUGCUAGCUGGUGGGGUAAAGGCCUACCAAGGCGACGAUCCGUAACUGGUCUGAGAGGAUGAUCAGUCACACUGGAACUGAGACACGGUCCAGACUCCUACGGGAGGCAGCAGUGGGGAAUAUUGGGCAAUGGGCGAAAGCCUGAUCCAGCCAUGCCGAGUGUGUGAAGAAGGUCUUCGGAUUGUAAAGCACUUUAAGUUGGGAGGAAGGGCAGUAAGUUAAUACCUUGCUGUUUUGACGUUACCAACAGAAAAAGCACCGGCUAACUUCGUG